UGAACGCUGGCGGCGUGCUUAACACAUGCAAGUCGAACGGAGUUUUAACGGAAGUUUCGGAUGGAAGUUAAGAACUAGUGGCGGACGGGUGAGUAACGCGUGGGUAACCUGCCUCAUACAGGGGGAUAACAGUUAGAAAUGACUGCUAAGACCGCAUAAUAUAGCGAAACCGCAUGAUUUUGCUAUCAAAUAUUUAUAGGUAUGAGAUGGGCCCGCGUCUGAUUAGCUAGUUGGUGGGGUAAAGCCUACCAAGGCGACGAUCAGUAGCCGGCUUGAGAGAGUGACCGGCCACAUUGGGACUGAGACACGGCCCAAACUCCUACGGGAGGCAGCAGUGGGGAAUAUUGGACAAUGGGGGAAACCCUGAUCCAGCGACGCCCGCGUGAGUGAAGAAGUAUUUCGGUAUGUAAAGCUCUAUCAGCAGGGAAGAUAAUGACAGUACCUGACUAAGAAGCCCCGGCUAACUACGUGCCAGCAGCUGC
This 482-nucleotide ribosomal RNA is filed under the name uncultured bacterium. RNAcentral describes it as "bacterial SSU rRNA". It matches the Rfam family "Bacterial small subunit ribosomal RNA", at positions 30 to 518 of the family's 1533-position model. The record is from RNAcentral.